AGAACGAACGCUGGCGGCAUGCCUAACACAUGCAAGUCGAACGAGACCUUCGGGUCUAGUGGCGCACGGGUGCGUAACGCGUGGGAACCUGCCCUUAGGUUCGGAAUAACUCAGAGAAAUUUGAGCUAAUACCGGAUAAUGUCUUCGGACCAAAGAUUUAUCGCCUUUGGAUGGGCCCGCGUAGGAUUAGCUAGUUGGUGGGGUAAAGCCUACCAAGGCGACGAUCCUUAGCUGGUCUGAGAGGAUGAUCAGCCACACUGGGACUGAGACACGGCCCAGACUCCUACGGGAGCAGCAGUGGGGAAUAUUGGACAAGUGGGCGAAAGCCUGAUCCAGCAAUGCCGCGUGAGUGAUGAAGGUCCGUUAGGGUUGUAAAGUCUACUUUACCCGGGAUGAUAAUGACAGUACCGGAGAAGUAAGCGUACCGCUAACUCCGUGCCAGCGAGCCGUA
This 451-nucleotide ribosomal RNA is filed under the name uncultured soil bacterium. RNAcentral's name for it is "bacterial SSU rRNA". It matches the Rfam family "Bacterial small subunit ribosomal RNA", at positions 26 to 522 of the family's 1533-position model. The record is from RNAcentral.